GCGGGCGUGGCGAAACUGGUAGACGCAAGGGACUUAAAAUCCCUCGGCCUUAGGCCUUACGGGUUCGAUCCCCGUCGCCCGCA
RNAcentral lists this transfer RNA (83 nucleotides) under Rhizobium azibense. RNAcentral describes it as "tRNA-Leu". It matches the Rfam family "tRNA". Rfam says of the family: Transfer RNA (tRNA) molecules are approximately 80 nucleotides in length. Lineage: Bacteria; Pseudomonadati; Pseudomonadota; Alphaproteobacteria; Hyphomicrobiales; Rhizobiaceae. The record is from RNAcentral.